AGAACGAACGCUGGCGGCAUGCCUAAUACAUGCAAGUCGAACGAAGGCUUCGGCCUUAGUGGCGCACGGGUGCGUAACGCGUGGGAAUCUGCCCCUUGGUUCGGAAUAACAGUUGGAAACGACUGCUAAUACCGGAUGAUGACGAAAGUCCAAAGAUUUAUCGCCAAAGGGAUGAGCCCGCGUAGGAUUAGCUAGUUGGUGAGGUAAAGGCUCACCAAGGCGACGAUCCUUAGCUGGUCUGAGAGGAUGAUCAGCCACACUGGGACUGAGACACGGCCCAGACUCCUACGGGAGGCAGCAGUAGGGAAUAUUGGACAAUGGGCGAAAGCCUG
RNAcentral lists this ribosomal RNA (332 nucleotides) under uncultured soil bacterium. Its description in RNAcentral is "bacterial SSU rRNA". It matches the Rfam family "Bacterial small subunit ribosomal RNA", at positions 26 to 385 of the family's 1533-position model. The record is from RNAcentral.